Cricetulus griseus (Chinese hamster) is the source of this 196-nucleotide small nucleolar RNA. Its record names the gene U3. It matches the Rfam family "Small nucleolar RNA U3". Rfam says of the family: Small nucleolar RNAs (snoRNAs) are involved in the processing and modification of rRNA in the nucleolus. There are two main classes of snoRNAs: the box C/D class, and the box H/ACA class. The record is from Ensembl. NCBI's taxonomy places the organism in Eukaryota, Metazoa, Chordata, Mammalia, Rodentia, Cricetidae.
AAGACUAUACUUUCAGGUAUCAUUUCUAUAGUUCUUUACUAUCGAGGUUUCUCUGACUGUAUAGAAUACCUGAGACCAUUAGGAGAGGUAUCCUGAGCGUGAGGCCCGCUGUAGGUGCUGCUUUCUUGCAGCUGCCUCUUUCCAUUGAUGGCCAGUCUUCUCUCCCUUUGGGAGAGUGAGAGGGAAGGGAAAAGGA